This 406-nucleotide long non-coding RNA is filed under the name Rattus norvegicus (Norway rat). Its description in RNAcentral is "long non-coding RNA NONRATT017594". Lineage: Eukaryota; Metazoa; Chordata; Mammalia; Rodentia; Muridae. The record is from RNAcentral.
CUAUGAAUGGAAAGGAAAGAUCGAGGAAGAUAGUGAGGUGCUGAUGGUGAGAAAACUCCCCUCCUGCCCGGCUCCUUUGACAACUCUGGCUCUCUUUCACCUGACACCAGGUUGAACUGUGUCUGUCUUUGCCCUUUAGAUGAUUAAAACACAAAGCUCCCUGGUCCCUGCUCUGACAGAGUUUGUCCGAUCUGUGCACCCUUAUGAAGUUGCCGAGGUGAUCGCACUGCCCGUGGAGCAGGGGAAUCCCCCGUAUCUGCACUGGGUGCACCAGGUCACGGAAUCAGUGUCAGGCUCUGGCAAGGCCCUACCAUGACAAGCCCUGUUCCCGCCACAGCUUCCUCUGCUCAAUGCUCUUGGGCUUCCACAUGAUGACUGAGCCCCUAAUAAAUCCUCUCCUGCUCUC